This 360-nucleotide long non-coding RNA is filed under the name Struthio camelus australis. RNAcentral describes it as "lncRNA (ENSSCUG00000010548.1)". Lineage: Eukaryota; Metazoa; Chordata; Aves; Struthioniformes; Struthionidae. The record is from RNAcentral.
CUGAAGACUACUGAAAGAGCUUUAACUUGUGAAGGCACUGUAUUAAUCAAAAACAUGGAUGAACCUUUGAUCCCAUACUUGAUCCCCCUGCUUGGAAGAAAUGCAGCUAAAAGGGGAAAGUAUAUCAAGAUUGAAGGCAAAGAAUGUGAAUCCAACAAGAAUUUCCAUCUCAGCCUUCACACUGAACUGGCUAGCCCUCACUACGAGCCCGAACUGCAAGGCUCAGUGCUUUGGGACACCCAAAGCAAGAACUUGUGGAGACAUUUGAAUCAAUAAAGUCAACUGCAGCUGAAAUACAGCACAAGGUGAACAGGCACAUUGCUACAGAAAACAAUUCCCUAAUAUUUGUCUGAGCAGAAG